Molecule: long non-coding RNA, 1142 nt
Filed under: Piliocolobus tephrosceles (Ugandan red Colobus)
Lineage: Eukaryota; Metazoa; Chordata; Mammalia; Primates; Cercopithecidae
Description: lncRNA (ENSPTEG00000005386.1)
Source: RNAcentral
AUAUAAAAGUUUAUCAAUAAGGUUAUUAUUAAUUUUUAUUUUAAGUUCGAUUGUUUAUCUUUAUUUUGGCUUUCAUUUUAUAAUAAAUGGAUAUAAGAAUUUAAAAAAUGGAAUAAUCAACAUGAAUGUUUUAGUAGCUAUUAGUUCAUCGUUUUCUUAUUUUUAUUCUCUUUUUCUUACAGUUUUUUGUUUAUUAUUUUCAAUAGAUUUAGGAAGCAUAUCUUUAUAUUUUGAUUCAUCUGCUCUGUUGAUAUGUAUCAUGAAAUUUGGUUUUGAAAUAGAAACUUUUUUAAUUAGUUUUACAAAAAAGAAAGUGGAGGAUCUGUAUGAAAAAAACACAAAACAUGUUUAUAUUUUAGAAGAAAAAAAUGGAUAUACAAACGAGCAUGACAAUGUUGUUGCCACAGUUGUUUCUACAGUUGCUACCACACCUGUUGCCACUGAUAGUUCCGCUAUUUCUACUGCCACAGGUACUAACAAUAAUAAUAAAAAUGGUAACAUCCAAAUUAAAAAUAGUGAUUGUUUGAUUACACAAAACGGAAAUAACACAAAUAAAACGAAUGAUAAUAAUAUAACCGACAAUAAUAUGAAAGUCAUAGAUCGAGAGAAGAAUUAUGAGAACAAUAGCACAUGGUCACUAUCCGUUUCUAAAAAAGAAGAUACAUUAUUAAAUAAGGGGUCUACUGAAAAUGAUAAAAAAUUAAAUUUAAAACCUUUAUUAUUUAAUAAAAAAGAGAGGCUAAUGGAUAAAAUAUUUUUUAAAAAUAAUAAACUAAAUUUAAAUGAUUAUGUGAUAAAAAGUUAUCCAGUUAAGUUUAUACAAAAACAUGACAUGUUGUUAUUUUAUGAAGGAUCUGCUUUACUAAUCGAUGGAAUCAAAAUAAACGAUGAGGUUUCUUAUGUUGAUGAGAGUAUGAUAAGUGGAGAAAAAAAGGCUAUUAAAAAAUACAAAGGUGAUAUUAUAUAUGCUGGUUCUAAAUGUUUAGAAGGUGUUAUUAUUAUAUAUAUAAAUGAUAUAUCAAAAGGGAAUUAUUUGGAAUAUAUAAAAAAAACAUUGGACUCAUUAAAAUGUGAUAAAACUAAUUUACAAUUAUAUGCGGAUAAAGUAGCUAAUAUAUUUAUUCCUCUUAUUUUAAUAUUAU